UGCAAGUCGAGCGAACGGACGAGAAGCUUGCUUCUCUGAUGUCAGCGGCGGACGGGUGAGUAACACGUGGAUAACCUACCUAUAAGACUGGGAUAACUUCGGGAAACCGGAGCUAAUACCGGAUAAUAUUUUGAACCGCAUGGUUCAAAAGUGAAAGACGGUCUUGCUGUCACUUAUAGAUGGAUCCGCGCUGCAUCAGCUAGUUGGUAAGGUAACGGCUUACCAAGGCAACGAUGCAUAGCCGACCUGAGAGGGUGAUCGGCCACACUGGAACUGAGACACGGUCCAGACUCCUACGGGAGGCAGCAGUAGGGAAUCUUCCGCAAUGGGCGAAAGCCUGACGGAGCAACGCCGCGUGAGUGAUGAAGGUCUUCGGAUCGUAAAACUCUGUUAUUAGGGAAGAACAUAUGUGUAAGUAACUGUGCACAUCUUGACGGUACCUAAUCAGAAAGCCACGGCUAACUACGUGCCAGCAGCCGCGGUAAUACGUAGGUGGCAAGCGUUAUCCGGAAUUAUUGGGCGUAAAGCGCGCGUAGGCGGUUUUUUAAGUCUGAUGUGAAAGCCCACGGCUCAACCGUGGAGGGUCAUUGGAAACUGGAAAACUUGAGUGCAGAAGAGGAAAGUGGAAUUCCAUGUGUAGCGGUGAAAUGCGCAGAGAUAUGGAGGAACACCAGUGGCGAAGGCGACUUUCUGGUCUGUAACUGACGCUGAUGUGCGAAAGCGUGGGGAUCAAACAGGAUUAGAUACCCUGGUAGUCCACGCCGUAAACGAUGAGUGCUAAGUGUUUAGGGGGUUUCCGCCCCUUAGUGCUGCAGCUAACGCAUUAGCACUCC
Molecule: ribosomal RNA, 833 nt
Filed under: Staphylococcus aureus
Lineage: Bacteria; Bacillati; Bacillota; Bacilli; Caryophanales; Staphylococcaceae
Description: bacterial SSU rRNA
Rfam family: Bacterial small subunit ribosomal RNA
Source: RNAcentral